This 257-nucleotide ribosomal RNA is filed under the name uncultured bacterium. RNAcentral's name for it is "partial 16S ribosomal RNA". It matches the Rfam family "Bacterial small subunit ribosomal RNA", at positions 793 to 1055 of the family's 1533-position model. The record is from RNAcentral.
GUCCACGCCGUAAACGAUGUUCACUCGCUGUUUGCGAUAUACAGUAAGCGGCCAAGCGAAAGCAUUAAGUGAACCACCUGGGGAGUACGUCGGCAACGGUGAAACUCAAAGGAAUUGACGGGGCCCGCACAAGCGGAGGAACAUGUGGUUUAAUUCGAUGAUACGCGAGGAACCUUACCUGGGCUUAAAAUGUAGAGUGCAUGAGGUGGAAACACCCUUCCUUCGGGGCUUUCUACAAGGUGCUGCAUGGUUGUCGU